Molecule: ribosomal RNA, 468 nt
Filed under: uncultured bacterium
Lineage: Bacteria
Description: partial 16S ribosomal RNA
Rfam family: Bacterial small subunit ribosomal RNA
Source: RNAcentral
GACGAACGCUGGCGGCGUGCUUAACACAUGCAAGUCGAACGGAAAGGCCCUGCUUUUGUGGGGUGCUCGAGUGGCGAACGGGUGAGUAACACGCGAGUAACCUGCCCUUGACUUUGGGAUAACUUCAGGAAACUGGGGCUAAUACCGGAUAGGAGCUCCUGCUGCAUGGUGGGGGUUGGACAGUUUCGGCGGUUGUGGAUGGACUCGCGGCUUAUCGGCUUGUUUGUGAGGUAGUGGAUUACCCAGGCUUCGACGGGUAGCAGGCCUGAGAGGGGGACCGGCCACAUGAGGACUGAGGUACGGCCCAGACGGCUACGGGAGGCAGCAGUGGGGAAUAUUGCACAGUGGGCGGAAGCCUGAGGCAGCAACGCCGCGUGCGGGAUGACGGCCUUCUGGUUGUAAACCGCUGUCGCCUGUGACGAAGAGGGAGUGACGGUAAUGGGUAAAGAAGCACCGGCUAACUACGUG